AUUGAACGCUGGCGGCAGGCCUAACACAUGCAAGUCGAACGAGUGGCGGACGGGCGAGUAAUGUCUGGGCAACUGCCUGAUGGAGCGGGAUCACUCCUGGAAACGGUAGCUAAUACCGCAUACCAUCGGAUGUGCCCAGAUGGGUUUAGCUAGUAGGUGGGGGAAAGGCUCACCGAGGCGACGAUCCCUAGCUGGUCUGAGAGGAUGACCAGCCACACUGGAACGGAGACACGGUCCAGACUCCUACGGGAGGCAGCAGUGGGGAAUAUUGCACAAUGGGCGAAAGCCUGACGCAGCCAUGCCGCGUGUAUGAAGAAGGCCUUCGGGUUGUAAAGUACUUUCAGCGGGGAGGCGUUACCCGCAGAAGAAGCACCGGCUAACUCCGUGCCAGCAGCCGCGGUAAUUC
Molecule: ribosomal RNA, 406 nt
Filed under: uncultured bacterium
Lineage: Bacteria
Description: partial 16S ribosomal RNA
Rfam family: Bacterial small subunit ribosomal RNA
Source: RNAcentral